GUGAACGCUGGCGGUAGGCCUAACCCAUGCAAGUCGAACGGCAGCACAGUAAGAGCUUGCUCUUACGGGUGGCGAGUGGCGGACGGGUGAGGAAUACAUCGGAAUCUACUUUUUCGUGGGGGAUAACGUAGGGAAACUUACGCUAAUACCGCAUACGACCUACGGGUGAAAGCAGGGGAUCUUCGGACCUUGCGCGAUUGAAUGAGCCGAUGUCGGAUUAGCUAGUUGGCGGGGUAAAGGCCCACCAAGGCGACGAUCCGUAGCUGGUCUGAGAGGAUGAUCAGCCACACUGGAACUGAGACACGGGCCAGACUCCUACGGGAGGCAGCAGUGGGGAAUAUUGGACAAUGGGCGCAAGCCUGAUCCAGCCAUACCGCGUGGGUGAAGAAGGCCUUCGGGUUGUAAAGCCCUUUUGUUGGGAAAGAAAAGCAGCAGGUUAAUACCCCGCUGUUCUGACGGUACCCAAAGAAUAAGCACCGGCUAACUUCGU
Molecule: ribosomal RNA, 490 nt
Filed under: uncultured bacterium
Lineage: Bacteria
Description: partial 16S ribosomal RNA
Rfam family: Bacterial small subunit ribosomal RNA
Source: RNAcentral